GAAAUCAUUUAGAAAACCCCUUAAUUAAAAUUUCCAGAACUUGCAUGAUCUUCCUAUUGGCUUAGGCAAAAAGUCAUGAAGAACAUCCAAGUCUCUACCAUUUUCAUGUUAUUGCUUCUUCUUUUUGCUGCUGGAAAAGAGGUGACGGCAAUGGGCCUCCCAGGUAAAACAUGCGCUUCGACUAUAAAAUUAGCAGGUUGCAAAAAUGAUAACUGCUUGAAGUUGUGCAAGCAGACACAUGGAGAGAGCAUAUACGUAAAAGGAGCAUGUUUUGGUGAUGGCUGCCUUUGCUUGCACCUAUGUUAAAAAGUCUUGUCAUCCAAGAGAGAUUCUACUAUUCUCAUAUAUAAAAUCUAUUAUUAAAUACAUAUUGAAAAGUAAUAAAAAAAGAUAAAAUAAUGAAAGGUAACUGCAUCUCAAGGCAGAUUGAAUUUUGAUUCUCCAAUGGUAAUCCUUCAACCUCAUUUCUAUAGAACUUCAUUGUCACUGCUUCCAUCUCAGGGAAUGUUCAGUUGUCCGGAUUGUAUUAGUCGAGGAAAAUUCCAUUGAUAAUCGACAUUUACAUAUUUAUCUUUGUAAUUGUAUUUAACAAACAAGUUUUCUAUAUAUAAAAAAAAAGUAUAUAUCUUUGGCAGUUAAAUUGUACACCAAUACAUGUUAUCUCA
Molecule: non-coding RNA, 665 nt
Organism: Theobroma cacao (cacao)
Lineage: Eukaryota; Viridiplantae; Streptophyta; Magnoliopsida; Malvales; Malvaceae
Source: RefSeq, a predicted model, not a curated record